RNAcentral lists this unclassified non-coding RNA (363 nucleotides) under soil metagenome. RNAcentral's name for it is "partial contains 5.8S ribosomal RNA, internal transcribed spacer 2, and large subunit ribosomal RNA". The stretch from base 1 to 121 matches the Rfam family "5.8S ribosomal RNA", at positions 35 to 154 of the family's 154-position model. The record is from RNAcentral.
GAUGAAGAACGUAGCGAAUUGCGAUAAGUAAUGUGAAUUGCAGAUUUUCAGUGAAUCAUCGAAUCUUUGAACGCACCUUGCGCUCCUUGGUAUUCCGAGGAGCAUGCCUGUUUGAGUGUCAUUAAUAUAUCAACCUUCUCUUUUUUGAGUUGUUUGGAUGUGGGGGUUUGCUGGCCUCUUAAAUGAUUCAGCUCCCCUGAAAUGCAUUAGCAGAACAACCUGUUCAUUGGCGUGAUAAUUAUCUAUGCUAUUGAAUGUGAGGGCAGUUCAGCUUUCUAACCGUCCUUGGACAAUUCAUCAUUAAUGUGACCUCAAAUCAGGUAGGACUACCCGCUGAACUUAAGCAUAUCAAUAAGCGGAGGA